This 515-nucleotide ribosomal RNA is filed under the name uncultured bacterium. Its description in RNAcentral is "bacterial SSU rRNA". It matches the Rfam family "Bacterial small subunit ribosomal RNA", at positions 355 to 870 of the family's 1533-position model. The record is from RNAcentral.
UAAGGAAUAUUGGUCAAUGGACGAAAGUCUGAACCAGCCAUGCCGCGUGAAGGAUUAAGGCCCUCUGGGUUGUAAACUUCUUUUAUCUGGGACGAAAAAAGGGUAUUCUUACUCACUUGACGGUACCAGAGGAAUAAGCACCGGCUAACUCCGUGCCAGCAGCCGCGGUAAUACGGAGGGUGCAAGCGUUAUCCGGAUUUACUGGGUUUAAAGGGUGCGUAGGUGGGUUUGUAAGUCAGUGGUGAAAUCUCCGAGCUUAACUCGGAAACUGCCGUUGAUACUAUAAAUCUUGAAUUAUAUGGAGGUAAGCGGAAUAUGUCAUGUAGCGGUGAAAUGCUUAGAUAUGACAUAGAACACCAAUUGCGAAGGCAGCUUACUACGUAUUUAUUGACACUGAGGCACGAAAGCGUGGGGAUCAAACAGGAUUAGAUACCCUGGUAGUCCACGCCCUAAACGAUGGAUACUCGACAUUAGCGAUACACUGUUAGUGUCUGAGCGAAAGCAUUAAGUUCCCC